CCGAGUCUUAACCGGGCGUUAAGUUGCAGGGUAUAGACCCGAAACCCGGUGAUCUAGCCAUGGGCAGGUUGAAGGUUGGGUAACACUAACUGGAGGACCGAACCGACUAAUGUUGAAAAAUUAGCGGAUGACCUGUGGCUGGGGGUGAAAGGCCAAUCAAACCGGGAGAUAGCUGGUUCUCCCCGAAAGCUAUUUAGGUAGCGCCUCGUGAAUUCAUCUCCGGGGGUAGAGCACUGUUUCGGCUAGGGGGCCAUCCCGGCUUACCAACCCGAUGCAAACUGCGAAUACCGGAGAAUGUUAUCACGGGAGACACACGGCGGGUGCUAACGUCCGUCGUGAAGAGGGAAACAACCCAGACCGCCAGCUAAGGUCCCAAAGUCAUGGUUAAGUGGGAAACGAUGUGGGAAGGCCCAGACAGCCAGGAUGUUGGCUUAGAAGCAGCCAUCAUUUAAAGAAAGCGUAAUAGCUCACUGGUCGAGUCGGCCUGCGCGGAAGAUGUAACGGGGCUAAACCAUGCACCGAAGCUGCGGCAGCGAACGUAUCACCCAAGACAACUUUACGGAGUUGACGAUUGACGGAGCGAAGCGACGUCAAAGCGUUCAUUAAAGUCGAGUUGGCUUAGGGAUACGUUCGUUGGGUAGGGGAGCGUUCUGUAAGCCUGUGAAGGUGUGUCGUGAGGCAUGCUGGAGGUAUCAGAAGUGCGAAUGCUGACAUAAGUAACGAUAAAGCGGGUGAAAAGCCCGCUCGCCGGAAGACCAAGGGUUCCUGUCCAACGUUAAUCGGGGCAGGGUGAGUCGACCCCUAAGGCGAGGCCGAAAGGCGUAGUCGAUGGGAAACGGGUUAAUAUUCCCGUACUUGGUGUUACUGCGAAGGGGGGACGGAGAAGGCUAUGUUGGCCGGGCGACGGUUGUCCCGGUUUAAGCGUGUAGGUGUGUGUUCCAGGUAAAUCCGGUUCACUUUAACACUGAGGCGUGACGACGAGGCACUACGGUGCUGAAGCAACAAAUGCCCUGCUUCCAGGAAAAGCCUCUAAGCAUCAGGUAACACGAAAUCGUACCCCAAACCGACACAGGUGGUCAGGUAGAGAAUACCAAGGCGCUUGAGAGAACUCGGGUGAAGGAACUAGGCAAAAUGGUGCCGUAACUUCGGGAGAAGGCACGCUGACACGUAGGUGAAGUGAUUUACUCAUGGAGCUGAAGUCAGUCGAAGAUACCAGCUGGCUGCAACUGUUUAUUAAAAACACAGCACUGUGCAAACACGAAAGUGGACGUAUACGGUGUGACGCCUGCCCGGUGCCGGAA
RNAcentral lists this ribosomal RNA (1301 nucleotides) under Salmonella enterica. Its description in RNAcentral is "partial 23S ribosomal RNA". It matches the Rfam family "Bacterial large subunit ribosomal RNA", at positions 677 to 1874 of the family's 2925-position model. Lineage: Bacteria; Pseudomonadati; Pseudomonadota; Gammaproteobacteria; Enterobacterales; Enterobacteriaceae. The record is from RNAcentral.